GGGAAAGAAUGAGCCCUGCAAAGACGACACCAAACAAGAAGUGUCACAACUCUGGAUGAGACCGCCUGGCACAGCUCACUCAGACCAGAGCCAGCAUGUCCACACGAGUGACUGCGGGUAUCAAAGCGAAGGGCUCUUGUGGGUCCAGAAAUGUGUUUUUUGGUGUCGCACCUCAUAAGGGUCUUUGUGUGACUGCAACAGGGACUGUGAUGCAUGGAAAGCUAGAAGGCGGGAAAAGAGUAGUGAAAGGGAUGCGGCGCUUUGAGGAGAUCCCUCACACUGGGAGGAAUGGAUGGCUCAACCUGCUGAAAUUCUGGAGAGAAAAUCGCUUCCAGCAGCUUCACAAGCACAUGGAGAGGACCUUCAACACGCUCGGACCCAUCUACAGAGAAAAGCUCGGCACCCUAAGCAGCGUGAACAUCAUGCUCCCAUCUGACGUCAGUGAGCUCUUUAAGUCAGAGGGUCUGCACCCCCGACGGAUGACCCUGCAGCCCUGGGCGACACACCGGGAAAUACGCAACCACAGCAAGGGCAUCUUCCUCAAGAAUGGGGAAGAGUGGAGAGCUGACCGUCUGCAGCUGAACAAGGAGGUGAUGAUGAGUGCAGCAGUAAAACGCUUUCUCCCUCUCCUUGAUGAGGUGGCGAAGGAUUUCUGUCAAAUGCUGCAGACAAGAAUGGAAAAGGAGGGAAGAGGAGAGAAGGGAAAAUGCGUUCUUACCAUCGAUCCCAGUCCUGACCUUUUUCGUUUUGCACUGGAAGCUAGCUGCCACGUGCUCUACGGAGAGCGUAUUGGCCUCUUCUCCUCAUCCCCCUCCCUGGAAUCUCAGAAGUUCAUCUGGGCCGUGGAGCGAAUGCUAACAACCACUCCUCCUCUCCUCUACCUUCCCCCUCGCUUACUGUUGCGCAUGGGUGCUCCCCUGUGGACCCAGCACGCCACUGCUUGGGACCACAUCUUCAGUCAUGCGGAGGCGAGGAUCCAGAGGGGGUACCAGCGCUUGUCAACCUCCCUGGAUAGAGCAUCUCCGGCUGGGACUGCUGGAAGCCAGUACACUGGAGUUCUGGGGCAACUCAUGGAGAAAGGGCAGCUAUCUUUGGACCUCAUCAAAGCCAACAUCACUGAGCUGAUGGCUGGAGGGGUGGAUACGACAGCAGUACCCCUGCAGUUUGCUCUGUUUGAGCUGGGACGCAACCCUGAGGUGCAGGAGAGCGUUAGGCAGCAGGUGAGGGUGUCGUGGGCACAGGCUGGUGGGGAUCCUCACAAAGCCCUGCAGGGGGCACCACUUCUUAAAGGCACAAUCAAAGAGGUCCUCAGGUUGUACCCGGUGGGAAUUACAGUGCAGCGGUAUCCAGUCAGAGACAUCGUUCUCCAGAACUACCACAUACCUGCUGGGACUUUGGUCCAGGCCUGUAUUUACCCAAUGGGUAGAAGUGAAAAAGUGUUUGAGGAUCCACUGCGCUUUGACCCCAGCCGGUGGAGCAGAGAAGAGGGCCAAAGGGUGGAAGCCGCAGGAUUUCGCUCACUGGCAUUUGGCUUCGGGGCGAGGCAGUGUGUCGGGAGGAGGAUUGCUGAGAGCGAGAUGCAACUUUUUCUCAUGCAUGUGAGUGACAGCAAAAAAGUGAAAGGGGAGGAGUAAGGAAGCAAGAAAGCAAGUUUUGGGAUGGGAUGAAAGUGAAAGGACAAUGAUGCAAGAGGACAGGAAGAAGUGGAAACAUGAGAGCUCAGUUAUAAGGCUGAUCCUGCUGAGCUUCCAUCUCAGCGUGCCGUCCUCAGAGGACCUCAACACCACAGUCACCCUCAUCCUCCAGCCCGAGACUCCGCCGAGGAUUACUUUCAGCAAGCUCUGACACACACACAUGCUCAGAGGAGAGUC
Molecule: RNA transcript, 1871 nt
Organism: Haplochromis burtoni (Burton's mouthbrooder)
Lineage: Eukaryota; Metazoa; Chordata; Actinopteri; Cichliformes; Cichlidae
Gene name: cytochrome P450 11B, mitochondrial
Exons: 9
Source: RefSeq, a predicted model, not a curated record